GACGAACGCUGGCGGCGUGCCUAAUACAUGCAAGUCGAACGAACCGCGACUAGGUGCUUGCACUUGGUCAAGGUGAGUGGCGAACGGGUGAGUAACACGCGGGUAACCUACCUCAUAGUGGGGGAUAACAGUCGGAAACGACUGCUAAUACCGCAUAGGACAUAGGAUCACAUGAUUCUGUGAGGAAAGGUGGCGCAAGCUAUCGCUAAGAGAUGGACCCGCGGUGCAUUAGCUAGUUGGUAGGGUAAAGGCCUACCAAGGCGAUGAUGCAUAGCCGACCUGAGAGGGUGAUCGGCCACAUUGGGACUGAGACACGGCCCAAACUCCUACGGGAGGCAGCAGUAGGGAAUCUUCCGCAAAGGACGCAAGUCUGACGGAGCAACGCCGCGUGAGUGAAGAAGGUCUUCGGAUCGUAAAGCUCUGUUGUUAGAGAAGAACAGCGCAUAGAGUAACUGUUAUGCGUGUGACGGUAUCUAACCAGAAAGCCACGGCUAACUACGUG
Molecule: ribosomal RNA, 502 nt
Filed under: uncultured bacterium
Lineage: Bacteria
Description: partial 16S ribosomal RNA
Rfam family: Bacterial small subunit ribosomal RNA
Source: RNAcentral